GACGAACGCUGGCGGCGUGCUUAACACAUGCAAGUCGAACGAUGAACCCGGAGCUUGCUCUGGGGGAUUAGUGGCGAACGGGUGAGUAACACGUGAGUAACCUGCCCUGGACUCUGGUAUAAGCGUUGGAAACGACGUCUAAUACCGGAUAGGACCUUGGAUCGCAUGAUCUGGGGUGGAAAGUUUUUUCGGUCUGGGAUGGACUCGCGGCCUAUCAGCUUGUUGGUGAGGUAAUGGCUCACCAAGGCGUCGACGGGUAGCCGGCCUGAGAGGGUGACCGGCCACACUGGGACUGAGACACGGCCCAGACUCCUACGGGAGGCAGCAGUGGGGAAUAUUGCACAAUGGGCGAAAGCCUGAUGCAGCAACGCCGCGUGCGGGAUGACGGCCUUCGGGUUGUAAACCGCUUUUAGUAGGGAAGAAGGGCUUCGGCUUGACGGUACCUGCAGAAAAAGGACCGGCUAACUACGUG
RNAcentral lists this ribosomal RNA (472 nucleotides) under uncultured bacterium. Its description in RNAcentral is "partial 16S ribosomal RNA". It matches the Rfam family "Bacterial small subunit ribosomal RNA", at positions 28 to 507 of the family's 1533-position model. The record is from RNAcentral.